This 375-nucleotide unclassified non-coding RNA is filed under the name Hevea brasiliensis (rubber tree). Lineage: Eukaryota; Viridiplantae; Streptophyta; Magnoliopsida; Malpighiales; Euphorbiaceae. The record is from RNAcentral.
GCAAGAAUCGAUGAAGCAACAAACAAGAAAGAUAAACAAGAAUAGAAUUAAAAACACUACGAAAAUCCUCGAAAUAAAUCCUUGUGUGAAGAUGACCAUCACUAAGCUUUAACCUAAAGAUCUGAGCUUUAUUUUCAUCAAACUCAAAUCGUUCCUUAGAUUUCUUUCUGGGUUUGAGGUCAGAAUCAUUAGUACCUGGCCUUCGAAUGGCUGCCCGAACCCCAUUAGAAGAUGCAUUGUUUGGAGCAACAUCAUCAGGGUGAACAUAAGUGAAAAGGCCAGAGAGCAAAAGUGCAGGGAUCUUGAUGAAGUGAAGAAGGAAAGUGAGGGAGAGAGCAAGAGCAGCUUGGAGAAAGAGAUUGCCAGACAAAAUUA